UCGGUGGUUCAGUGGUAGAAUGCUCGCCUGCCACGCGGGCGGCCUGGGUUUUUAUUUCCCACUUUCAUAG
Cordylochernes scorpioides is the source of this 70-nucleotide non-coding RNA. NCBI's taxonomy places the organism in Eukaryota, Metazoa, Arthropoda, Arachnida, Pseudoscorpiones, Chernetidae. The record is from the annotation of a GenBank genome assembly.